CACCACAACGGGUGGAGCCCGCGGUUUAAUUGGACUCAACGCCGGGCAGCUCACCGGAUAAGACAGCUGGAUGAUAGCCGGGCUGAAGACUCUGCUUGACUAGCUGAGAGGAGGUGCAUGGCCGUCGUCAGUUCGUACUGUGAAGCAUCCUGUUAAGUCAGGCAACGAGCGAGACCCACGCCAACAGUUGCCAGCAUGUCCUCCGGGAUGAUGGGGACACUGUUGGGACCGCCUCUGCUAAAGAGGAGGAAGGAAUGGGCAACGGUAGGUCAGCACGCCCCGAAUUAUCCGGGCUACACGCGGGCUACAAUGGUCAGGACAAUGGGUAUCGACACCGAGAGGUGGAGGCAAUCUCCUAAACCUGUCCUUAGUUCGGAUUGUGGGCUGCAACUCGCCCACAUGAAGCUGGAAUCCGUAGUAAUCGCGUUUCAAAAUAGCGCGGUGAAUAUGCCCCUGCUCCUU
This 462-nucleotide ribosomal RNA is filed under the name uncultured Methanolinea sp. RNAcentral describes it as "bacterial SSU rRNA". It matches the Rfam family "Archaeal small subunit ribosomal RNA", at positions 877 to 1338 of the family's 1478-position model. The record is from RNAcentral. Lineage: Archaea; Methanobacteriati; Methanobacteriota; Methanomicrobia; Methanomicrobiales; Methanoregulaceae.